RNAcentral lists this ribosomal RNA (446 nucleotides) under uncultured bacterium. RNAcentral's name for it is "partial 16S ribosomal RNA". It matches the Rfam family "Bacterial small subunit ribosomal RNA", at positions 338 to 795 of the family's 1533-position model. The record is from RNAcentral.
CCUACGGGCGGCAGCAGUCGAGAAUCAUUCACAAUGGGGGAAACCCUGAUGGUGCGCCGCCGCGUGGGGGAAUGAAGGUCUUCGGAUUGUAAACCCCUGUCAUGUGGGAGCAAAUUAAAAAGAUAGUACCACAAGAGGAAGAGACGGCUAACUCUGUGCCAGCAGCCGCGGUAAUACAGAGGUCUCAAGCGUUGUUCGGAAUCACUGGGCGUAAAGCGUGCGUAGGCUGUUUCGUAAGUCGUGUGUGAAAGGCGCGGGCUCAACCCGCGGACGGCACAUGAUACUGGGAGACUAGAGUAAUGGAGGGGGAAGCGGAAUUCUCGGUGUAGCAGUGAAAUGCGGAGAUAUCGAGAGGAACACUCGUGGCGAAGGCGGGUUCCUGGACAUUAACUGACGCUGAGGCACGAAGGCCAGGGGAGCGAAAGGGAUUAGAUACCCGGGUAGUC